UCCGGUUUGACACCGGCAGUCUCGCUAGAGUACUCGGCAUUACCCGUGAGCAACUAACGACAGGGGUUGCGCUCGUUAAGGGACUUAACCCGACACUUCACAGCACGAGCUGACGACAGCCAUGCAGCACCUGUGACCGUUCCACUCUUGCGAGUGUGGCCCCUCUUUCAAGGGGUUAAUCCGGCCAUGUCAAGCCCAGGUAAGGUUCUUCGCGUUGCCUCGAAUUAAGCAACAUGCUCCACCGCUUGUGUGAGCCCCCGUCAAUUCAUUUGAGUUUUAGCCUUGCGACCGUACUCCCCAGGCGGUGCACUUAUCGUUUUUACUGCGACUGAUACGGCGUCAAAACCGCACCAGUCUAGUGCACAUCGUUUACGGCGUGGACUAC
RNAcentral lists this unclassified non-coding RNA (385 nucleotides) under uncultured Phycisphaeraceae bacterium. Its description in RNAcentral is "contains 16S-23S intergenic spacer region". The record is from RNAcentral. Lineage: Bacteria; Pseudomonadati; Planctomycetota; Phycisphaerae; Phycisphaerales; Phycisphaeraceae.